GACGAACGCUGGCGGCGUGCUUAACACAUGCAAGUCGAACGGAAAGGCCCUGCUUUUGUGGGGUGCUCGAGUGGCGAACGGGUGAGUAACACGUGAGUAACCUGCCCUUGACUUUGGGAUAACUUCAGGAAACUGGGGCUAAUACCGGAUAGGAGCUCCUGCUGCAUGGUGGGGGUUGGAAAGUUUCGGCGGUUGGGGAUGGACUCGCGGCUUAUCAGCUUGUUGGUGAGGUAGUGGCUUACCAAGGCUUUGACGGGUAGCCGGCCUGAGAGGGUGACCGGCCACAUUGGGACUGAGAGACGGCCCAGACUCCUACGGGAGGCAGCAGUGGGGAAUAUUGCACAAUGGGCGGAAGCCUGAUGCAGCAACGCCGCGUGCGGGAUGACGGCCUUCGGGUUGUAAACCGCUUUCGCCUGUGACGAAGCGUGAGUGACGGUAAUGGGUAAGGAAGCACCGGCUAACUACGUG
This 468-nucleotide ribosomal RNA is filed under the name uncultured bacterium. RNAcentral describes it as "partial 16S ribosomal RNA". It matches the Rfam family "Bacterial small subunit ribosomal RNA", at positions 28 to 507 of the family's 1533-position model. The record is from RNAcentral.